This 610-nucleotide ribosomal RNA is filed under the name Glomus sp. MS. Its description in RNAcentral is "SSU rRNA". It matches the Rfam family "Eukaryotic small subunit ribosomal RNA", at positions 647 to 1255 of the family's 1831-position model. Lineage: Eukaryota; Fungi; Glomeromycota; Glomeromycetes; Glomerales; Glomeraceae. The record is from RNAcentral.
GGAUCAAUUUGCUGGUCGUGCCUCUGGUACGUACUGGUAUUAUUGGUUUCUCCCUUCUGACGAACCAUGAUGUCAUUAAUUUGAUGUCGUGGAGAAUCAGGACUGUUACUUUGAAAAAAUUAGAGUGUUUAAAGCAGGCAUUAGCUUGAAUACAUUAGCAUGGAAUAAUGAAAUAGGACGUUUGAUCCUAUUUUGUUGGUUUCUAGGAUUGACGUAAUGAUUAAUAGGGAUAGUUGGGGGCAUUAGUAUUCAAUUGUCAGAGGUGAAAUUCUUGGAUUUAUUGAAGACUAACUACUGCGAAAGCAUUUGCCAAGGAUGUUUUCAUUAAUCAAGAACGAAAGUUAGGGGAUCGAAGACGAUCAGAUACCGUCGUAGUCUUAACCAUAAACUAUGCCGACUAGGGAUCGGAUGAUGUUAAUUUUUUAAUGACUCAUUCGGCGCCUUACGGGAAACCAAAGUGUUUGGGUUCCGGGGGGAGUAUGGUCGCAAGGCUGAAACUUAAAGGAAUUGACGGAAGGGCACCACCAGGGGUGGAGCCUGCGGCUUAAUUUGACUCAACACGGGGAAACUCACCAGGUCCAGACAUAGUAAGGAUUGACAGAUUGAGAGC